GUCCGAUCAUAAUUCCACCUCCAGAGGAUUCCUACCUUCGUUCUACUAGAAGACCCUUGAGGCUCGCAGUCGAGAGGACCUCCUGGAUCAAAGAUUCUAAGAGAUGAACUGGUAGAUCGAGGAGCUCAUCAGAUGAGGUCGGCUCAACAAAUUCAUCCGAUACUGAUCUGAAGGUAGGGAGGAUCGGCCGAGGGCCCUACCACAGCCAGAGCUGCCA
This 217-nucleotide long non-coding RNA is filed under the name Elaeis guineensis (African oil palm). Its description in RNAcentral is "long non-coding RNA (EGUI_LNC060112)". Lineage: Eukaryota; Viridiplantae; Streptophyta; Magnoliopsida; Arecales; Arecaceae. The record is from RNAcentral.